Molecule: non-coding RNA, 157 nt
Filed under: Prosthecodimorpha hirschii
Lineage: Bacteria; Pseudomonadati; Pseudomonadota; Alphaproteobacteria; Hyphomicrobiales; Ancalomicrobiaceae
Also listed under: 1 other name
Description: Prosthecomicrobium hirschii 6S / SsrS RNA
Rfam family: 6S / SsrS RNA
About the family: E. coli 6S RNA was the first non coding RNA to be sequenced, but its function was unknown until recently. It consists of 184 nucleotides that fold into an extended hairpin structure with a large single-stranded internal bulge.
Source: Rfam by way of RNAcentral
ACGAGGCUGCACGGUGCGACAGGAUACUGAAUCCCCGGGGCCUUAACGAUCUUAACGGGAGCUGUCCCCGGUUGAACCCCUGGGUUCUUCCACACGGCGCCCACCUACUCUGUAGGUUCCCGGGAUCGUUACAUCCAUCGGCUGCGGUGGCUUCGUC